GCAAGGUCUAGCACAGAGCCAGUCAAAUCCACCACAGUCCCGCGCUGAGCUAGGAAAAAAGUAAUGACAGGAAAGUGGAGCAAAAGAGGCCCCCAGUCCGGCAUCAGCUGAAUGGGCCACCCUUAGAGAAAUAUAUAUAAAUAUAGAUAUAUAUAUAUAAAUAAAUAUAUAUAUAUUAAAUAAAUAUAUAUAGGAACGAGAACUGUGGGAUUACAUCUUUAAACAUCUCAGUCAAGUGGAAAACUUUUAACGCUCUUUCUGGUUGUUUCGACUGGAAACUUUGUUUAGAGGAAAGUCACGUUCGGCUGGCUUGAAGGACACGGGGUGGAAAACCCAAAAUUGUACCAACCAUCCGAUGAAUGAAUCAAGAACAUUGGACAAAAGGAAAAGAGAAGAGAAGAGAAAAUCACGGCGGGAACAAGAUUGACUUGGAUUUCUACCGUGAACUUGAUCUAAAACCAUCAUAGCUUUUCCCCGAUUCGGAAACGCUAAAAGUGUGCCUGUGGCCAUCACAGAUGGGGUUGCUAUGGCAACCGUCACUAAGCAUUCUUUAUCUGUCAUUCCUUAGCUACAUAGGGACCAAAGGACAUAACUUUUUACCGCAAACUUGUAGUUGUAUGUAAAUUACUCAGAAGAUCUUUCCGUUUCUCUUAGCUGUUCCCGCUAAGACAGCUUUGGGGAGAGAUUCAAUGAAAUAAUGUAUUAAAAAAAAAACACACACAAAAAACACACACAUAAAAAAAACAAAAACUGAAACUCAGCUUCGACGCUUUAAAAAAAAAGGCAAGAUAAUAGUUCUUUGAUACUUCGGAAAGUCUUUGGAUAUACAUUAAUUAGAGUCUAUGAAACUUUCAUAUGGUUUUCUUUAUAAUAGGGAUGGACCAAGGGGAGGGGGGUGUUUCGAAGGGGCAGGUUUCAGGGGAGAAUAUUGUCAGAAGACGAAGAAAAGGGGGGGGAAAAUACGGCUCCAUGUUUGGGUAAGGAGAAAGAAGGAGAAGGAGAAAAAAAAACUGCACCGUAGAACGAGAGCUUGUUUGUAUGAAAAGAGGGAGCCUUCCCUCCCCUACCAAAACCCCUAAUAGUUGUACAGAAUUUAAAAAAAAAAAAGUUUAAAAUACCUAUAUACCGGGGCAGGGGGGAAGAUUAGAUGACAUAAA
This is a non-coding RNA of Thamnophis sirtalis, 1157 nucleotides long. The record is from RefSeq and is a predicted model, not a curated record. NCBI's taxonomy places the organism in Eukaryota, Metazoa, Chordata, Lepidosauria, Squamata, Natricidae.